Canis lupus familiaris (dog) is the source of this 1883-nucleotide long non-coding RNA. RefSeq lists it as uncharacterized. The transcript has 3 exons. The record is from RefSeq and is a predicted model, not a curated record. NCBI's taxonomy places the organism in Eukaryota, Metazoa, Chordata, Mammalia, Carnivora, Canidae.
GAGAGAGAAGGCGCAGAGACACAGGCUCCAUGCAGGGAGCCCGAUGUGGGACUCGAUCCAGUAUCCCCAGGAUCACGCCCUGGGCUGCAGGCGGCGCUAAACCACUGCGCCGGGGCUGCCCUAUAUUAGAUAGCCUUAAGUUAAUUCAAGGUCCAAUUAUUUUAUUAUCAUUUAAAGGAGAUGGGUUUGAGAACUAAAGCAAGCUGUAAAAAAUAAGGAGGAGCAUUUAUAUUUAACUGGUACUAUUGUCCAACACCAAUAUGCUGCUGCAAGUACCAAAAUUUGGAGGUAACUUAAUGGAACUAUUUGUUAGAACAGUUACCCAGUGCAUUGAAGAAUUAGUCGAGAUUUUAUUUUUUUAAGAUUUUAUUUAUUUAUUCAUGAGAGAUACAGAGAGAAAGAGGCAGAGACAUGGGCAGAAGGAGAAGCAGGUUCCAUGUAGGAAGCCCAAUGCGGGACUCUAUCUGGGGACCCCAGGGUCAUGCCCUGAGACAAGGGCAGGUGCUCAACUGCUGAGCCACCCAGGCAUCCAGAAUUAGUUGAGAUCUUAAAAUAAAACUUGUACUUACUAGAAGAGAUCCAAAAAGGAUCCUAGAAACUACAGACCAUAUAAUGUAAAUUUUGGCUGGGAUAACUUCAAGAAUAUAUAAAAUAAUUUAAUAGAAACAUAAUAUUUGGUAGAAGUUCAACAUAACUUCAUAAAAAUAAAUUUGUUUUAAUAAAAUAGAGUCACUUUAAAAGGUUAACAUGUAUACAUUUGAAUUCCGGGGUGAUAAUAUAAUUUCAAUUCAAAAUCCUGUUUUUGCAAUGUUUCUAAAACCUAGCUCACUAGUAGAGAGUGACUCUAUAAGUGAGAAAAUGGCAUUUCCUUUAAUGUAUUUUCUUUCCAAAAUAGAAAUCUCACAGUAAGGAAUCAAAUAGAGGUUUUUGGAAGAUAUGGAGUAGUCUACUUUUUGUGGAGUUGGUGAGAACACUAUUUGAAAGACUACUAGAGCAUCUAUAAUAAGAGGUAUACAAAGGAUCUUCACAUUGGAAGACAAAUACUCUGUGGUGAAACACCAAAUCAAAAUUAGCAGUUUGUGGACUCAAAAAAUCCAGGAGUAGUUCUAAAUCUGAGUAAAACAGAUGCAGCAGCUAUACCAGAAUAAAUUUCAAAUUGGUGAAUGACCUAAGUUUUAAACGUAAAAUCACUAAAAUAACAGAGAGAAGGGGACUUUGCUAUAAAUAUCAAAUUCCUUCUAGAAGUAAAUGAUAGAGCAAUGUAGAAAAGCAACUUGGAUGAGUUCUUAUGACCUCUAACUAGCUGUAGACAGCUAAUUCAAACUGGAAAGAAUUAAAGAGAAGCAAGAUAUAACCUUCAAAUCUUGAAACUAGAAAACCGAUGCCUGGGAAAAUCUGGAAUUGAUGAUAAUCCGAUACGUGGGAUGCAUACCUAAUAUAUUUGUCAGAGAUUAAUCUAGGAUAUUUAGAAAAAAGUGCAAAAGCCUGACUGUGAGUGCGGAAGUAACAAGAGAUGGAAAACGAUAGCAUCAUUUUGCAAGAAUUUAAACUUCUGGAAUGACUUCAAGGAAAGCAAAAUUAGCACAGUUUUACAGCAAUCAGGCAUAGUUUAGCAAAAGAAAAUUUUCCCAUGGCAAGAUCUGCAUCUGAGUAAAAUGAAUAUUAGUAAGAUAUUACAUUUCCUAUUAUUUUUGUUACUAAGUUGCUAUUGUCAUCUUCCUCCUUUUGGAAAAGCAUUGAAAGUAGAACAUCUGCUUUUGAUUAAAUUGGUGUACCAGUAUUUCUGUACAAAUCCCAAUCAUAAUUAAAGGUUGCUAUUCCUAUCUUCUCAAAAGAUGUUUUGAAAAUUACAUCUCACUUAGAAAAAUUACUUUCCUUUUUAU